RNAcentral lists this non-coding RNA (228 nucleotides) under Pelosinus sp. RNAcentral's name for it is "T-box sequence". It matches the Rfam family "T-box leader". From Rfam's summary of the family: Uncharged tRNA acts as the effector for transcription antitermination of genes in the T-box leader family. T-boxes are found upstream of many aminoacyl-tRNA synthetase genes and some amino acid biosynthetic genes usually in Gram-positive bacteria. The record is from RNAcentral. Lineage: Bacteria; Bacillati; Bacillota; Negativicutes; Selenomonadales; Sporomusaceae.
UGAAAGGCAAUGAAAAGGAAUAGUAUCCACAAAUUGAUUGCAGAAAGCUGUUGGAUGAUGCGAAACAGUAUAAGAAAUGUGGUGAACUCGCCUUGGAGCUUCUGGCUGAAAUAUAGUAGGUCAUGACGGAAGUCCUCCGUUAUCGGGAUAGGCAUUAGUAGUGCCGAUGAGCGUAUGUUGAUCAUGAAAUAGAGUGGUACCGCGAGAGCUUUGUCUUUCGUCUCUAUA